This 1021-nucleotide long non-coding RNA is filed under the name Anas platyrhynchos platyrhynchos (common mallard). RNAcentral describes it as "lncRNA (ENSAPLG00000030453.1)". The record is from RNAcentral. Lineage: Eukaryota; Metazoa; Chordata; Aves; Anseriformes; Anatidae.
UCCUGCCUUCCCCAUGCACAGGCACUGUGGCCACUUCCCAUCCCAGGGCUCAGUUUUGGGGAAGCCACCAAGAAAGAUGUGGGGACAACAGGCUGUGCCCAGCUGGCGGGCAGAGUUUUGGGGCAGGCUGGAGCCUUGGGAGCACCCACACCAGGGCAUGAGCCCACUGGAUCCCAAAACUGGGCCACCCGUGCCACGGGAAGGAGCCGGCCGCUGCUUUACCUUUCUUGCCCUGGCUGAGAGGUGGCAAGACCCCGUCCUUCUUCUUUUUCUCCUUCCCAGGGACUUUCUCUGGGGCCUUGGAUGAUUUCCUGUAUGACGAUUUGGGCACCAGCUCCACUGCAAACCUGCACGCAAGGAGAGGACCCUGGUGUGACAUUCGGCACGAGCUGCCCUUUCUGCUCUCUGUCGUCGCCUGCUCAUGGGCACGUUUUCACAUUCCAUAGAGGCUGCUUUUGGCCAAAUGGUACCAAAAAGGAGCUGAGCAGCUGCACUGAGCAGCCGACUUUGCAAAUAUACUUACUCGGGGAAGAUGACGACACGGCCAGAGGAUGUCAGGGAGGCUAUGACUGCCAGCCGGGACACCACGGUGUCCAUCAGCUGCGGGACCUGCAGGGGGGAGAACAGAGGUGGGAGAAUAUCCCUGGUGGGGGGGAUCCCAAGAUCCCAGAGCGGGCAGGACCGUCCCUUUGGCCUGGCCUGAGCCAUUCCGACAUGCUUUCGGAUUGCCUGGAGCAAAACAAAGCCCCUCACCUUCAAAACGGCAUUCUGAAGGUCCUCCUUGCCACACAGCAUCUCCAGGACGUCGUAGUAGAAUUUCAUCUCCACCCUGGUGCCUUCUAUGAGGAGCACGCCCAGGUCCCUCAGGACGAGGGCGACGUUCUCCCCCUCCCGCAGGCACUGGGAGAUGAGGGCCAUGGUGCCUCGGAUGCAGCUCUCAGCUUUCUGCCAGGACACGCAGGCGUCCGCCGCCACCUCGGCACGUCUCAGGGGCUCCAGCUUCUUGUGGGCUGGAAAACCA